AUACGGAGGGUGCAAGCGUUACUCGGAAUCACGGGGCGUAAAGCGCGCGCAGGCGGUCUUUUAAGUUGGAUGUGAAAGCCUACGGCUCAACCGUAGAACUGCAUCCAAAACUAUUAGACUAGAGUGUGGGAGAGGAAGAUGGAAUUAGUUGUGUAGGGGUAAAAUCCGUAGAGAUAACUAGGAAUACCAAAAGCGAAGGCAAUCUUCUGGAACACUACUGACGCUGAGGCGCGGAAGCGUGGGGAGCAAACAGGAUUAGAUACCCUAGUAGUCC
Molecule: ribosomal RNA, 274 nt
Filed under: uncultured bacterium
Lineage: Bacteria
Description: partial 16S ribosomal RNA
Rfam family: Bacterial small subunit ribosomal RNA
Source: RNAcentral